GACGAACGCUGGCGGCGUGCUUAACACAUGCAAGUCGAACGGAAAGGCCCUGCUUUUGUGGGGUGCUCGAGUGGCGAACGGGUGAGUAACACGUGAGUAACCUGCCCUUGACUUUGGGAUAACUUCAGGAAACUGGGGCUAAUACCGGAUAGGAGCUCCUGCUGCAUGGUGGGGGUUGGAAAGUUUCGGCGGUUGGGGAUGGACUCGCGGCUUAUCAGCUUGUUGGUGGGGUAGUGGCUUACCAAGGCUUUGACGGGUAGCCGGCCUGAGAGGGUGACCGGCCACAUUGGGACUGAGAUACGGCCCAGACUCCUACGGGAGGCAGCAGUGGGGAAUAUUGCACAAUGGGCGGAGGCCUGAUGCAGCAACGCCGCGUGCGGGAUGACGGCCUUCGGGUUGUAAACCGUUUUCGCCUGUGACGAAGCGUGAGUGACGGUAAUGGGUAAAGAAGCACCGGCUAACUACGUG
RNAcentral lists this ribosomal RNA (468 nucleotides) under uncultured bacterium. RNAcentral describes it as "partial 16S ribosomal RNA". It matches the Rfam family "Bacterial small subunit ribosomal RNA", at positions 28 to 507 of the family's 1533-position model. The record is from RNAcentral.